Molecule: long non-coding RNA, 532 nt
Filed under: Haliotis rufescens (red abalone)
Lineage: Eukaryota; Metazoa; Mollusca; Gastropoda; Lepetellida; Haliotidae
Description: uncharacterized LOC124134810, transcript variant X3
Source: RNAcentral
AACUUAGUUGUGUCAUUUAAAUUUGAUGGAUGGACUUUCAGGAAAUUUGACAUUUUGGAAGAAGUCCAGCAAAUUCCUAAGGAGAAAUUUUUGGUCACUCUUCUUCCCAGUAGCUGCAUCAACCGCCAUCCUGUUAGAUUUGUCAAGGACAAGGCGGUUCAAGGUUAAUCAAGCCCUUCUAGCUAAACAAGCAGAGAUCAGAGCUCAGGACUGAAGAUGAAGUUCUCCAUGCUAAGAGGGAGGUUUUUGCCGUACUACAUGGCACUGCUGAUACCACCAGCAGCCUACUUUGUUGGCAGCUACUUCCAAGGGCAGCUUGACGAGACGCAGACGUUGUAUCGAAACAAAAGUCGACUGUUUGGUGGCCGCAGAUUAGCUGAGGGAGAGAAGGCGUGGUGAUGGAUGCAAGACUGAUGAAUGUGUGCUGUGUAGAACAGGGACUUAGACUUUAUCACAUAACCCCACGGUAUUUUGAAUUGGACUGUAAAUUAUUGAUCCUUUCUACAAACUAGAAAUAAAGGGUUUAGUAAUU